AAACAUAGAUAUCUACUUACUUAUUUAUCCGCCCGGGAACUACGAGCGUCAGCUUGAAACCCAAAGGACUUGGCGGUGCUUUAGAUCCACCUAGAGGAGCCUGUUCUAGAACCGAUGAUCCCCGUUAAACCUCACCUUUCCUUGUUCCUUUCCGCCUAUAUACCGCCGUCGUCAGCUUACUCUGUGAAGAAUAAGCAGUAAGCGCAAUCGGCACAGCCCAAAACGCCAGGUCGAGGUGUAGCGAAUGGAAAGGGAAGAAAUGGGCUACAUUCAAUAGUAAUAAUGCACACGGAUGGUGCUCUGAAAGAGGCACCUGAAGGAGGAUUUAGAAGUAAGCCGGGAAUAGAGUGCCCUGCUGAAACUGGCCCUGAAGCGCGUACACACCGCCCGUCACUCUCCCCGAAAAAAACACCAACCAUUUCUAAUAAACCAAAAUAAUAGAGGGGAGGCAAGUCGUAACAUGGUAAGUGUACCGGAAGGUGCACUUGG
This 489-nucleotide ribosomal RNA is filed under the name Stethojulis bandanensis (red shoulder wrasse). RNAcentral describes it as "partial 12S ribosomal RNA". It matches the Rfam family "Bacterial small subunit ribosomal RNA", at positions 841 to 1521 of the family's 1533-position model. The record is from RNAcentral. Lineage: Eukaryota; Metazoa; Chordata; Actinopteri; Labriformes; Labridae.